This is a long non-coding RNA of Chelonia mydas (Green sea turtle), 549 nucleotides long. RefSeq lists it as uncharacterized. The transcript has 3 exons. Lineage: Eukaryota; Metazoa; Chordata; Testudines; Cheloniidae. The record is from RefSeq and is a predicted model, not a curated record.
GGUCCUGGAGCGUCACGGGGGUAUCGACAUCCUGGUCUCCAAUGCGGCCGUGAACCCGUUCUUCGGCAGCACGCCUGAUGCCAGCGAGGACGUGUGGAACAAGGCUAGUUCCUCGACGUGAGCAACGCCAGCAGGCUGAAAGCGGAACGGUUUCUCUCAGCCAAACGCUUUCAGCACUCGGGAAAUUUCCAGGUGAGGACCGUUCCCCCCAGAACCGCAGCGUGAUACAGUAACAAUGGGACAGCAGACUCGUAGAACUUCCUGCACCAUUUUGCUACACGUCGUUCAACAGGACACUGAUACUCAGCAAAUUAUGAUUUUUCACAGGAUCCUGCAGGUGAAUGUGACAGCACUGGCACUGCUAAUCAGCCUGGUCGUGCCCCUCCGCGGAGAAACAGGCUUGAGUGUGGGGGGGGACGACGUGAGGGGGCAGCUGGUCUCUCGUCUCUGGCUCAUUCCCUCUCUCCGCUCAGGGGUGGCUCCAUCAUCCUCGUCUCCUCUAUCGCCGGGUUCUCCCCCUUCCCGGUGAGACGCCCCGGCCCUCCCACA